This 91-nucleotide transfer RNA is filed under the name Rubrobacter sp. RNAcentral describes it as "tRNA-Ser". It matches the Rfam family "tRNA". From Rfam's summary of the family: Transfer RNA (tRNA) molecules are approximately 80 nucleotides in length. Lineage: Bacteria; Bacillati; Actinomycetota; Rubrobacteria; Rubrobacterales; Rubrobacteraceae. The record is from RNAcentral.
GGAGAGGUGUCCGAGUUGGCCGAAGGAGCGCGACUGGAAAUCGCGUAGACGGUGUUGAGCCGUCUCGUGGGUUCGAAUCCCACCCUCUCCG